GCCAUACCGCGUGGGUGAAGAAGGCCUUCGGGUUGUAAAGCCCUUUUGUUGGGAAAGAAAAGCAGUCGGCUAAUACCCGGUUGUUCUGACGGUACCCAAAGAAUAAGCACCGGCUAACUUCGUGCCAGCAGCCGCGGUAAUACGAAGGGUGCAAGCGUUACUCGGAAUUACUGGGCGUAAAGCGUGCGUAGGUGGUUGUUUAAGUCUGUUGUGAAAGCCCUGGGCUCAACCUGGGAAUUGCAGUGGAUACUGGGCGACUAGAGUGUGGUAGAGGGUAGUGGAAUUCCCGGUGUAGCAGUGAAAUGCGUAGAGAUCGGGAGGAACAUCCAUGGCGAAGGCAGCUACCUGGACCAACACUGACACUGAGGCACGAAAGCGUGGGGAGCAAACAGGAUUAGAUACCCUGGUAGUCCACGCCCUAAACGAUGCGAACUGGAUGUUGGGUGCAAUUUGGCACGCAGUAUCGAAGCUAACGCGUUAAGUUCGCCGCCUGGGGAGUACGGUCGCAAGACUGAAACUCAAAGGAAUUGACGGGGGCCCGCACAAGCGGUGGAGUAUGUGGUUUAAUUCGAUGCAACGCGAAGAACCUUACCUGGUCUUGACAUGUCGAGAACUUUCCAGA
RNAcentral lists this ribosomal RNA (622 nucleotides) under Stenotrophomonas sp. So3Pw_2972. Its description in RNAcentral is "bacterial SSU rRNA". It matches the Rfam family "Bacterial small subunit ribosomal RNA", at positions 391 to 1004 of the family's 1533-position model. The record is from RNAcentral. Lineage: Bacteria; Pseudomonadati; Pseudomonadota; Gammaproteobacteria; Lysobacterales; Lysobacteraceae.